This 369-nucleotide ribosomal RNA is filed under the name uncultured bacterium. RNAcentral describes it as "partial 16S ribosomal RNA". It matches the Rfam family "Bacterial small subunit ribosomal RNA", at positions 338 to 724 of the family's 1533-position model. The record is from RNAcentral.
CCUACGGGUGGCAGCAGUAGGGAAUAUUGCUCAAUGGGGGAAACCCUGAAGCAGCAACGCCGCGUGGAGGAUGAAGGUUUUCGGAUUGUAAACUCCUUUUGUUAGAGAAGAUAAUGACGGUAUCUAACGAAUAAGCACCGGCUAACUCAGUGCCAGCAGCCGCGGUAAUACGGAGGGUGCAAACGUUACUCGGAAUCACUGGGCGUGAAGAGCGCGUAGGCGGGAUAGCAAGUCAGAUGUGAAAUCCUAUGGCUUAACCAUAGAACUGCAUUUGAAACUGGUAUUCUAGAGUAUGGGAGAGGUAGGUGGAAUUCUUGGUGUAGGGGUAAAAUCCGUAGAGAUAAAGAAGAAUACUCAUUGCGAAGGCGA